CCUACGGGUGGCUGCAGUGGGGAAUAUUGCACAAUGGGGGAAACUCUGAUGCAGCGACGCCGCGUGAGUGAAGAAGUAUUUCGGUAUGUAAAGCUCUAUCAGCAGGGAAGAAAGUGACGGUACCUGACAAAGAAGCCCCGGCUAAAUACGUGCCAGCAGCCGCGGUAAUACGUAGGGAGCAAGCGUUAUCCGGAUUUACUGGGUGUAAAGGGAGAGUAGGCGGCAGCGCAAGUCUGAAGUGAAAUCCCAUGGCUCAACUAUGGGAAUGCUUUAGAAACUGUUCAGCUAGAGUGCAGGAGAGGCAAGCGGAAUUCUUAGUGUAGCGGUGAAAUGCGUAGAUAUUAGGAGGAACACCAGUGGCGAAGGCGGCUUGCUGGACUGUAACUGACGCUGAGGCUCGAAAGCGUGGGGAGCAAACAGGAUUAGAUACCCGAGUAGUC
Molecule: ribosomal RNA, 440 nt
Filed under: uncultured bacterium
Lineage: Bacteria
Description: partial 16S ribosomal RNA
Rfam family: Bacterial small subunit ribosomal RNA
Source: RNAcentral